UACGUAGGGGGCAAGCGUUGUCCGGAAUCAUUGGGCGUAAAGAGCGUGUAGGCGGCCAGAUAAGUCCGCUGUGAAAUCUCGAGGCUCAACUUCGAGCUGUCGGUGGAAACUGUCUGGCUAGAGUCCGGAAGAGGAGAAUGGAAUUCCUGGUGUAGCGGUGAAAUGCGUAGAUAUCGUAAGGAAGACCAGUGGCGAAGGCGGGUCUCUGGACAGUUCCUGACGCUGAGGCACGAAGGCCAGGGGAGCAAACGGG
Molecule: ribosomal RNA, 253 nt
Filed under: uncultured bacterium
Lineage: Bacteria
Description: partial 16S ribosomal RNA
Rfam family: Bacterial small subunit ribosomal RNA
Source: RNAcentral